Long non-coding RNA from Oncorhynchus tshawytscha (Chinook salmon), 964 nucleotides. Lineage: Eukaryota; Metazoa; Chordata; Actinopteri; Salmoniformes; Salmonidae. The record is from Ensembl.
GAUUAUAGAUGAGGGGAUACAGAUAAACUGGUCAGUGUAGUGGGAUUAUACAUCAGGGGACACAGGUUAACUGGUCAGUCUGUGGGUUUAUAAAUGAGGGGACACAGGUUAACUGGUCAGUCUGUGGGUUUAUAAAUGAGGGGACACAGGUUAACUGGUCAGUGUAGUGGGAUUAUACGUCAGGGGACACAGGUUAACUGGUCAGUGUAGUGGGAUUAUACGUCAGGGGACACAGGUUAACUGAUCAGUGUAGUGGGAUUAUAGAUGAGGGGAUACAGAUAAACUGGUCAAUGUAGUGGGUUUAUAGAUGAGGGGACACAGGUUGACUGGUCAGUCUGUGGGUAUACAGAUGAGGGGAUACAGGUUAACUGGUCAGUGUAGUGGGAUUAUACAUCAGGGGACACAGGUUAAAUGGUCAGUGUAGUGAGAUUAUACGUCAGGGGACACAGGUUAACUGUUCAGUGUAGUCGGAUUAUAGAUGAGGGGAUACAGAUAAACUGGUCAAUGUAGUGGGAUUAUAGAUGAGGGGACAAAGGUUGACUGGUCAGUCUGUGGGUAUAUAGAUGAGGGGAUACAGGUUAACUGGUCAGUGUAGUGGGAUUAUACAUCAGGGGACACAGGUUAAAUGGUCAGUGUAGUGAGAUUAUACGUCAGGGGACACAGGUUAACUGGUCAGUGUAGUGGGAUUAUAGAUGAGGGGAUACAGAUAAACUGGUCAGUGUAGUGGGAUUAUACAUCAGGGGACACAGGUUAACUGGACAGUCUGUGGGCUUAUAGAUGAGCGGACACAGGUUAACUGGUCAGUGUAGUGGGAUUAUACGUCAGGGGACACAGGUUAACUGGUCAGUGUAGUGGGAUUAUACGUCAGGGGACACAGGUUGACUGGUCAGUGUAGUGGGAUUAUAGAUGAGGGGAUACAGAUAAACUGGUCAGUGUAGUGGGAUUAUACAUCAGGGGACACAGG